RNAcentral lists this ribosomal RNA (696 nucleotides) under uncultured organism. RNAcentral describes it as "bacterial SSU rRNA". It matches the Rfam family "Bacterial small subunit ribosomal RNA", at positions 74 to 781 of the family's 1533-position model. The record is from RNAcentral.
AUUAGCUUGCUAAGAGGUGGACAGCGGCGAAUGGGAGAGNUACGCGUGGUUACGUGCGCCGAGGUCCAGGAUAGCGUAGGGAAACCGGCGGUAAUACUGGAUGAUAUCUUCGGAUCAAAGGUGUGAUUCCGCCUUGGGAUCGGACCGCGUACUAUNAGCUUGUAGGUGGGGUAAUGGCCUACCAAGGCUGUGAUGGUUACCGGGUGUGAGAGCAUGGCCCGGCUCACUGAGACUGAGACACUGCCCAGACACCUACGGGUGGCUGCAGUCGAGAAUCUUCGGCAAUGGACGAAAGUCUGACCGAGCGACGCCGCGUGCGGGAUGAAGGCCCUCGGGUUGUAAACCGCUGUCAGUUGGAAGGAAGGGCCUGUGCAGAGCAGGUCUUGACCGAUCUUCAGAGGAAGGACGGGCUAAGUUCGUGCCAGCAGCCGCGGUAAGACGAACCGUCCAAACGUUAUUCGGUAUCACUGGGCUUAAAGCGUGCGUAGGCGGCCUGGAAGGUGAGAUGUGAAAGCCCACGGCUCAACCGUGGAAUUGCGUUUCAAACCGCCAGGCUUGAGGAAGACAGGGGUGUUGGGAACUUAUGGUGGAGCGGUGAAAUGCGUUGAUAUCAUAGGGAACACCGGUGGCGAAGGCGCAACACUGGGUCUUUUCUGACGCUGAGGCACCGAAAGCUACGGUAGCGAACGGGAUUAG